GGGCGGCAAGGGGGAGCGAUCUUCCUUAGAGCGGCGGACUGGUGAGUAACGCGUGGGUGACNUACCCCGAGGAUUGGGAUAGCNUNUAGAAAUAGGGGGUAAUACCGGAUACGGUUGUUUCACGACGGUGGGACAAAGAAAGGAGCUUUGGCUCCGCCUUGGGAUGGGCCCGCGUCCCAUUAGGUAGUUGGUGAGGUAACGGCCCACCAAGCCUGGGAUGGGUAGCCGGCCUGAGAGGGUGAACGGCCACACUGGGACUGAGAUACGGCCCAGACUCCUACGGGAGGCAGCAGCUAAGAAUAUUCCGCAAUGGUCGAAAGACUGACGGAGCGACGCCGCGUGGAUGAUGAAGGCCGAAAGGUUGUAAAAUCCUUUUGUUGCUGAAGAAUAAGCUUUGCAGGGAAUGGCAGGGCGAUGAUGUUAGGAAAGGCAUAAGCNCC
Molecule: ribosomal RNA, 440 nt
Filed under: uncultured Treponema clone CFS192p
Lineage: Bacteria; Pseudomonadati; Spirochaetota; Spirochaetia; Treponematales; Treponemataceae
Description: bacterial SSU rRNA
Rfam family: Bacterial small subunit ribosomal RNA
Source: RNAcentral